UAGGGUUUUUCUUUCAUCGUCUUUCUCCGGUACGAACUUUAUCUCAUCACCAACUUCAACAAUCUUCGUUUGCGCUUCAAAUUGUAUUAUUUCAUUUUUGUUUUCUUGUUUAGGGUUUUCUUACACCGGGUUUCACUGAUAACUCGUUUUUCUUUUCAGUUUGUGGGUUUUAUUUUCCUAUAUAUUUUCCCGCGAAAUUAAUAGGGCAUUCAUGGGCAUAUACACUGUUUUGCCCAAAAUUACGUGAAAUGAGCAUGUUGAACUUUUAUUUCACUUUGGUUUUAUUCAUUAAUUCAUUUUAAUCAUGGUUCAAUAUCGUAUUUGGUAUUUCUUUUAUAAUUUUCGUGUAAUUGUAUAUAUUCUGACUGUUUUCAUCUGUUUAAUUUCUCAGAGAACUUUCGAUAUAAAAUACUUGUAAUUUGAGGCCAGGAAAAUAGAAUUGAAAUAAUAUUUAGUAAUCACUUCAUAAACAUUACAAAACCAGGGAUAAUAUGGAAAACAAAUUCAUUGUUAAGUAUCAUAAGUGUUUUAACUGUUUAGCUUUAUUUUUUGGUUCUAUUAAGACUUGUUUUGUGUUGUCAGUAGGUAAUUGAUAUUUGGAAAAAUGGGUG
This 611-nucleotide unclassified non-coding RNA is filed under the name Hevea brasiliensis (rubber tree). The record is from RNAcentral. Lineage: Eukaryota; Viridiplantae; Streptophyta; Magnoliopsida; Malpighiales; Euphorbiaceae.